Molecule: long non-coding RNA, 553 nt
Organism: Homo sapiens (human)
Lineage: Eukaryota; Metazoa; Chordata; Mammalia; Primates; Hominidae
Product: long intergenic non-protein coding RNA 506
Source: Ensembl
AAAGCUGAAAUGUGACCGCGUCCCGGUCCCUUCCUGCUCUGGGGCGCGAAGCUGCCAAGAAACCGGCUGCGGUCUCCAGGAGGGGCCAGGAGGCAAAAUGGAAGGAAGCGCUGGAUCUCCGCGGCGGAAGUCAUUCUUAUGCCCUGCCAAAGGGUAGAGGGCAGCAACCGACUUGUGCGAAAGGAGGGAACGUGUGGGUCUGCCAGGGUCCUGCAGGGGGGAUGAGACCCUCGCUCCGCUCCGGCGAUCCCUUCGCUCUCCACCCUCGGCCAGCCCCUCCUGUCCUCCAUCAGGCCUCGCUGAGGAUACCUCCUGGGUUCCAAAGCGCGAGUUGAACCUGAGCUUGACAUUCAUUCCGUCUCGUACAAAAGCCAUGCCUGCGGGGAGAGGGAGAAAAUUUCCUACAGGAGCCUCAAGACUGCGUUUCAGGAAGCCCUAGGACCCACUGAUCCUGCAGCUGCGCCUCUCACUCGCCUCAGGGGAUAAACUCAAGGAAGAAAUGGACAUAGCUGUUGAGAAGAGAUGGGGAUUUUCUCAUAAGCCAUGCUACUUU